UACGUAGGGGGCUAGCGUUGUCCGGAAUCAUUGGGCGUAAAGCGCGUGUAGGCGGUCCGGUAAGUCCGCUGUGAAAGUCGGGGGCUCAACCCUCGAAAGCCGGUGGAUACUGUCGGGCUAGAGUGCGGAAGAGGCGAGUGGAAUUCCUGGUGUAGCGGUGAAAUGCGCAGAUAUCAGGAGGAACACCGGUGGCGAAGGCGGAUCUCUGGGCCUUACCUGACGCUCAGGUGCGAAAGCUAGGGGAGCGAACAGG
RNAcentral lists this ribosomal RNA (253 nucleotides) under uncultured bacterium. RNAcentral describes it as "partial 16S ribosomal RNA". It matches the Rfam family "Bacterial small subunit ribosomal RNA", at positions 524 to 776 of the family's 1533-position model. The record is from RNAcentral.